RNAcentral lists this ribosomal RNA (253 nucleotides) under uncultured bacterium. Its description in RNAcentral is "partial 16S ribosomal RNA". It matches the Rfam family "Bacterial small subunit ribosomal RNA", at positions 524 to 776 of the family's 1533-position model. The record is from RNAcentral.
UACGGAGGGUGCAAGCGUUAUCCGGAUUUACUGGGUUUAAAGGGUGCGCAGGCGGAUAUGUAAGUCAGUGGUGAAAUCUCCAGGCUUAACCUGGAAAUUGCCGUUGAUACUAUAUAUCUUGAAUGCUGUGGAGGUAAGCGGAAUAUGUCAUGUAGCGGUGAAAUGCUUAGAUAUGACAUAGAACACCUAUUGCGAAGGCAGCUUACUACACAGAUAUUGACGCUCAUGCACGAAAGCGUGGGGAUCAAACAGG